UUGAAAAUGUGGGAGAAAUUAGGUACAUAUAUGGAUAAAUACACUGUCCUAUAUAAAAGAGGGAUGCAUUUGCCAUUCUGGUAAGGUACAUUGUCUAUUGUAUAGGACAGGAAGCCAGAGUGGGGCCAUGGGAGAGGGCAAUACCUAGGGCAGCUGGACAUACAAAGAUCAGAGGUUAUCUAAGGACGGGGGGUUCAGCCAAAGGACCAAUUGAUGGAUUACAGACAUCAAUCACAUCACAGGAGACAAGUCUGUUUGAUCUUAGACAACCAUAUGAAGAGAAGGCAACCAGAACAGCUAGGCACCCUAAAGCUAAAGGAGAUGAAAGACACCAAAAGGGACACAUGGAGUUAAUUACAGGGUAUGAACACAGGCCACAGGAAAGGGGAAUGUAUAGUAUUUUUAGUAUAGCUGAGCAUGCUAAAAACAGAAGAGACACAUAGUCUGCUGACCCUAGAUAACACACAAACAGGAGAACGCAUUAAGCUGAGUGAAGGGUCAAAGCAAGGGUCUUGUCACCAUUAGGAUCUAAUGGAAAGCAGAUGGGGGCGUUAUUGGGCUGAACAAGCAGGAAGCACGGAUUGGGAUGUAACUUAAUUUGCAUAUGGGAGGGACUUAUAUGGUAGGUGUAUAACUCAGAGCGAGGGCUCUGAAAAAGUGUGUGUGUUCCGCGGACCGCUCCGGCUUAUGAUACUGUUGUAUUAAAAGUCUAUAUUGAUUUUCACAAAGUUCUUGGUUGUGUCAUAUUUGAACCGAUUUGCCACUACAUAAUUGGCGAGCUUGCCAGGAGAAUUAGGGACUGAAUAACGUUCUUGGCUGGCAGCGGGAUCUUUGGACGAUCUGGGCAAACAAGGGUGGCCACCCAGCUAAGGUAAGACAACAGUGAAAUGUUUGCGUAGAUCGCUUCAGAGAUCCUGCCUCAGCAAGAGGAGCGUCAAGUAGGUCUCUCUCUCUCAAAUUUCCUAAAAACUAUAGAAACGAAAGAACUUUUUGAAAUUCAAUGAAUUUGCAUGCAUGUGUGUAAGCUUGGAAAUUGUAUAAUGAAUGUGCAUGCAUGUCUAGUGAGUAAGUAGGUGGGAGCUGUGAACUUCGCUGGUGUAGGGUGUGUUAUUCUGGCAUGUUGGGGCUGGGAUUGGGCACAGGGUUACAGCUAUCUGCUUAUAAGGUUUGAAUAAAAUACGUAGUUAUAGAAGUCCUGCGAUACCGCUUCAAAAAUAUUUACCAGAAGGUCUGAAUGGGUAGGUUACUUUAUUGAUAAGUAAUCCUGCGAUACCGCUUCAAAAUAUUUAGCUGAAGGACUGAAUGGGUAGGCUACUUUAUUGAUAAGUAGAUAGAUAAACAUUCAUGGCUACCGCUUCAAGGAAAAGGUCUGUACGGAUGAGUAUUUAGAAAAUAAAUACACAUGGCUACCGCUUUGAAAUGAAGGUCUGUACGGGUGAAUAUUUAAAACACAGAAAGAACGCUGGCCUGAUUGUGCGACGUUCAACUGAAAAAGGAAAUCCUGCGAAUAUAAAACGCUCCGUCUAGCUAAACGGGGGUUUAUAAAUCAGUAGGUCGCGCCACGAUAUUGCUCUAACGUAGAAUAAAGAUCAAUACGGGGUGGAUGAAUAGGAUAUGAAGACAAGCUGAUCCGAUUAGACAGUAGUCUCGUCAUGUCGUAAAAAUCCUAUAGGAUAAUACCAGUUUAUGUAGAGGAAGUGUAUUAAACUAGGGGAUAAACUAUAGGUCGUUUUUAGGUAAAAACGAAGAGUAUGCGUGAAAAAUCCUAUAGGAUAAUACCAGCUUAUGUAGAGGAAGUGAAUUAAGUUAGGUAAUAAACUGUUUUGUUUUUAGGUAAAGACAAAAGGAUUGAAUGAAUGCUGUAAUAUAAUUAUUUGUGAUGAAUGAGCAGAUUAGAAAGAAGAGGAAGAACAGGCUGUGUGUCUGUGACCAACUGGGAAUGCGCAGGCCUCUCUGACAGUUAACUAAGUGAAAUUUGAGAAAGAGAGCGCAUUUAACUCUCACUGGGAAGAGGAACGAAAUCGAUAAAUAUUGGGCAAGAUAAGUUAUACAUAAGCAUAAAACAUUGACUGGAUAAUGAGUUAAAAGACCAUUGUAAAAAUUACAAUAGGUGUUAAAAAGAGGUAUUAAACAAGGCAUGGAUAGUAUAAAACGGAUGCGAAGUAGGAAGAAAUAACUUAAAAAUAUACAGAUAAACUAAAAUAUACUGGUUAAAAUAAAUCUAGGCAAAAGUGAGAAUUGCAUGAAAAUAGAAGUCUAGAACACAUUAAAAAUAUCACGAGCCCUGUAAACGAAAUAGGAGGCUGCAAUUUAAAAAUAGCCUCAGGAAUUAAACAGUAAAAUAGGCUAAGAGAGAAUAUAGCAAGCGGAUAAAUAAAGAGAUAAGAAAGUGCAGACAUUAUAAAUAAGCUGAAUUAGAAGGAAAAUUAUAUGAAAUAGGAUUUAAUACAUUGAAUAAAGUUAAAGUAAUAGUAUAAGCAAAGAUAAAAACACAGUGAUAUUUGAGGUGCUGUACUAGAAUAAGACAUUAAGGCUUCUGUAGUAUUCAGUAAUACAGUUGUAGACAUUAUAGAGUAGGUUUUAAUAGGAGGUAUUAAGUGAUGUGACUAAUAAAUUAUUAUUUGAGAAAGUAGGGUAGAUCUACCUUGGAAAAUAGUAAAUAAAGUAUAUAAUGCGAUGGGAGAGUUUAGGAAAAAUAAAUAGUGGCAUGGAAACAAAUGGACUGUUUCUCCCUGGAAUAUAGAGAUAGCGAAAUUUAAUAAAGCCAUAGAGUCGCUGAAAGAAGCGCACGUUAAUUCUACCAAUUCGAUUUGAAUAUGAAGGAGCGGUUUGCUACAAUGUAGGGCAACAUUACCCGGUAAACAGGAUAAAUAAAAUAAUGAAUUGGAACGAUCACAUACAACCAUAACAAGAAGCUUAACUUACCAGCGUUUUAAUGUUAAUUAACAUUAUAUCAUCAGAAAUACAUUACGAUGGGGGAAGUGUAAGAAGUUGUAGAGCAGGGCUAACUAGUGUGGGGGAAAAUUAGUGUAAGAUGACACUGGAAUGCGAUAGUAGAGAAUGCAGAAAUACAGGAAUUUACACCCGUUUUAAAAGAACAACAACUGAUCGUUCUAAGGUUAGUACGAAUGAAGUUUUCACCAAGCGGUGUAUAGUCUCUGAUUGAUCAAAAAGUGGUUCAUAGAGAGUACAGUUUAUGUGAUGAAAUACGUACUAGAUCACGUUUUACCUAACUUAUAGUAAGGUACCGAUGUAAUUUACAAAUAGCCCCACUCGGAGUCGUUUUGCAUUAAAAUGGCGGUUUCAGUGGUGAUAAAAUGCGUGGAGAAGUUGUUAUUAGCGUCAAAAUACGGAAAAUAAACGUAUAUGAAAAAUCACAAGCGUGGUAAAAAUAGUUAGAAGAAAAGCAAAUUGUAGAGUAUGGGUGUAUUCAAUUUCUGAUACAGAUGGCCGAGCAGGGGGGAAUUGUGCGUUCUGUGCAUGGCUGGAGCUUUUAUCGCAUGCUCGGGAUAAGUGAGGGGAUUUUAGUAUGUGUGUUACUGUUGGCUUGCUGAUUUAGAGGGUGGCAUGGUGAAUGUUAACGAAAUGUACAUUUCUUUUCCAGAAAAAAGGGGUUACAUUUUCAAUGGGUUUUUCAGUUCGGUUUCAAAUUGGGUAUGCAGAAGGAUGGAAGUGCUUUUGAAAGUGUGGUUAAGAUGUUUCUAAAGAAAAAAGAGUGAAAACAUUAUAAUGGUGUCGAAUGCCCUGAACUCUAAGAAUUUCCCGUGAAGACUGAUCAACUUCACUAGAAAUUUUUGGAAUAGGUGGGAUUUAAUUAUAAAAUGAUUGAGAAACACCAGUUUCUGUUCAAAGUGUAGAAUCACUUUGAAAUUCCAUUAUUUCCUUGGGAAAAAGAUGAAGUUGUAAUCUUGAAUUGACUAGUUAUUCAAAUAGGUUUAUUUUUAUUUAACAUGGGGUUAUAGGAGAACAUAUCAGUUCCCUGGGGUUAUGGUCUUUGGGUAAAUACAAAAUGUGCUUUGUUCAUUCUACAUAUAAAAUGGAAAUAUAUGUAAACAAGGGAUAACAGUUACUCCAAAUAGGUUAUUGGAGUGGGGGUUUCUGCAAGGGUUAUGAUGAUAACUACAUAAUCUGUAACUCAUCUGAGAGAUCGCCAGUAGAAUAAGGGAGUUAUCAUGGAAAUGUAAUGUCAGAAUGCAUUCAUGCUUGGGAGAGACUAUCAUAACACCAAGUGGGUGUGAAAUUUAUAAACAACAUUUAGUUAUGUUUUGGAUAUAGGACUGUUUAAAUUUAUUAGGCCUAGGGAAGCUCUGGAAACUAAUCCUGAGACAGGUUGAUUGACAGAACUAGCAGAAUAUUAAAUUAAAGGUUUUUGUUUCUUUUAUUUUACAAUAUCAUAGUAAUUGGAGUGAUACAUUGGAAUGACAUAAGUCAUUGAAUAAAAAGUAUAGUCUGUUGUGUGAUAACACCCAAGGAUGAAGAAGACAUUACAAAUAGUGGUAAUUUAUUGCAAAUAUGCAGUCAUUAUAAUUUACUUUACCAUUUUUCUUGUUUGGUCAAUUUAUUUUUGGUUUGAGGAAAAUAAGAGUGUAUAUUUUUCCUGAGGAGGGACUGAUAUAUAUUGACUAAAAAUGAUUUGAGAAUGUUUAAGUAUGUAUCAAACUAUGGAAGGAAAUUAGGAGUAGUGACUUAUGUGUUAUGGGUUAGAAAAACUGUAACUACAUUGGGGGCUCAUAUAUGAAGGUUAUGGUAACAAGAGGGGGGUGUUAUUUCUAGAAACAGUGUAUAUUGAUAGACAAGAUAAUUCACAGAAAAGGAAGGACAGUUGGUUUUGUAAAAAUAUAGGGACAAUUCUAAAAGUAAAUAGAACAUUACACAUACCUAGAUUAUGGUAAAAGUGAUAAGUAGUGGCAUUUUGAACACUAGAGCAAAAGUUUAAGAAGCUUAGGAUUUAGUUUUGUUAGGAUUGGAUAUUCUUUCAACUGGAAGACACUUGACUGAUUACAUGUUAUUCUUGCAGCAGUUACGGUAGGGACCAUAAUUUGGCUAUCAUUAUGAAUAUUUUUGUGGCAAGAGGCCAGGUAUUUAAGACAGAAUGUUUACAUAGGGCUGUUAUUUAAAAAUUAAGAUUUAGUGAUCUUGCUCUCAGAAGAAAGUCUGUUGUCAGGAAAUAACCCAUGAGUUAGUAUGUAUGUUCCCAGGAAAAGACGCCAGAUGGAAGGGCAUGGGCUGAAUUCUGGAAACUGAGUGUACAUCAAGAUACACCGGGCUGGGGAUAUACUUCUUACAGCACCUGCAGUGGUAAAGAUUGUCAUGUCUCUCUAUGAUGGGUGCAUAAGUUUCACAAGAAGUAAGGUCCAGCUGAAUAAUGGGUGAGCUUGAAAACACCAUGACAGAGGACGUGAAACAAAACAAAAGAGAGGGAGAGAGAGACUAGAUUCUACUGUAGACAUACUGGGUUGAGUUUGGGGGUUAUUUGUUUUAUUUGAUAAUGUAUCAUGUGAAUAAGGAUAUAUGUUAGGGUAGUUGUACUCUAAACCACAUGUUGAAGGCUCAAUGUGGAAGCUCAUUCUGUGUUGAAUUACUUUAAGAAGGAAUAAUGUUGAUUAAGGUUAUGCACAUGUUUAUCAGUUGAAACAGAGCAGAUGGGGAACUAAGUAAAAAAUGACAUGGUUUGGGAACACCUCUCAGAACCUGCGGCCGAAAGGGGAAGACUGGAUGAAAGCACGAGGAAGCCAAUUAGGGCCUCCAUUUUUGUGGAGUCCAGCAGAAAAGUAUCCUGGAGGCAUAGAGUCAGUCUUAUGUUUAGGAAACCAGAUGGAGAAGGGUUCUCCAGCUUCAGCUGGAAUGUCAGUUUGUGUGAUGAGUGAUGGAAGUAAGAGAAUGUAUGGUGUAAUCAUAGAACAGAGGCCAUAAGUCUCUAAGUAUGAAUGCCCCAUAGAAAGAAGGCAGAAAUCUGAACCAGGAUGAGAGGUUCCACAUCUGAUGAUCCAAGGGGACCAGAAGGAUCUCUCCCAGUGAUACCAGGAGAUCGAGUCUACGUUUGAGUGUUCCGAAGGAAGUGGGAUCAGCCGAGGAGGGAAGGACCCUACGAGGUGGCAACAGCCACAAACACGACCGUCCAAGUGAAAGGAAGCAAGACGUGGUAUCAUCUAAACCACUGCACCCGAGUCCCGACGGAGAGAAGGACACAACCAUACAGAGAUGAGGACACAGAGGAUGCUGAUUCACCAGAAGGGACCCCGGAGGGAGCAGGAGCAGCGGAAUCGAUCAAAGCGCCGGGGAGGAAUCAAGAAAAUGGCAGACCAGAUACAACGAGUGCAUCAGCUAACACACUCAGAAGAACCAACCAGGGAAAAAGAGCCUGAAAAGAAAAGAGACAAACAACCAAAGUUUUCUCCAGUAUGGCCAGAAAGCCCAGAAGUGGGAGGGGGUAACAUGUCUGCCACUCCUGAUGAUAUACCUGUUGGGGCAGACCUCUUGGACAGAAGCCCUCUACAGUGGGACCCCGAGGUAUUGCCUAAAGAAUGUGAACAUCUCUUCCCUGAAAUGGUCACCUUCCAGAUGGAAGCACAGUCCGGCCUGAGGAGGGAGCCUCAGGGGAAGACAGAGGAGGAGAGGCCUCACAGGAACAGAAGGAGAGACCCCGCAAAGAGGAGGAAAAGUCCAGCAAGCUACAGAAAAUGGGGAUUUCCCCAAAAUUGACUUUUCAGCUCUUGAAUUGUCUCCUUAACAGACACUUGAAGUUAGAGCCACAGAAGAACAAUGAUAUUGACAUAACAGAAGUAACAGUGAACGCUAGUAUAGCAACAACAGACUCACGCACAAUCAAGAUGUAGGGUGGAAACAGGAAGAGAAGAGAGGAACCAGUCAAACAACCUAAAAAGACUGACAAGGUUAGAAUCUCUGUCCCACCUCAACAUAUAACUGAAACAGAAGAAGAGAAGACAAAAGGAUCAAACCCUUACCGGAGAUUGCAUUCGGUGGAUGGACAUAUCAUCGAACGAAGAGAGAAGUCAUUUGGGAUGUGACCUGACGUUAACCAAAGAAGUAGACGAGUGGGUGCUCACCAUGAAUCAGAUUGAACCAGUUGAAGGUGAAAUAACGAGAACAAGAUUGACCGAAGGGAGUAGCGCCUCAGUCAUUAGAAUUGGUCUUAUGCCAAUACCUAAACAGGGAGAGCCUGUGGUAGCUAGAAAGCAUCCGAACCAGGAGGGUUCUUUACUGACAUUUUGAACUUUUUGACUAACUUUAAUGACCUACCUCAAGAUAAGAACAUUGCAAAGAUGACAGACAGACAUACCAGACUCUGAACCACUCAAGGACACCACAUGAAAUGAAUAGUGAAGAAUGAGUGGUACGAUUAGGCUAAGUAUACAGCAGAAAUAAACAUAGGAGGGACAAUUGUAUUUUGUGUAGAAAAUCACCUUUGUCUGAUCUUUUGAUAGUACCUGAACCUGCAUCAUUUGAAGAAUGCGUUAAAUAUAAAAUGUUCAAUAUUCAGAGAAAAUACUACAUUCCCUUGUGUGACAUAGAAUGUAGGAUUGCUCGAGGGAGCACUAGAGGCAGAACCAUAUUAAAUUAGACUGGGUUGGGAGUUCAAGGCAAGAGAUGAAGUUAAAUCUGGAUUUGAAUCUUAAUUUUUGUGGAUAACAUCAAAUAAGAACUUAGAGUGGAUUAAUUACAUAUACUAUAACCAACAGAGAUUCAUUAACUAUACUGACUUGGCUUUAACGGCGUUGGGGGAAUAGGUACAGGAUACCAGUAAAAUGUCUUGCCAAAAUAGACAGGCUCUCAAUUGGCUUUUUGCAGAGAAGGGUGGAGUUUGUGUUAUGUUCGGGGAUGAUUGUUGCACCUUUAUUCCCAAUAACACUGUGCCUAAUGGAUCCCUUGCAAUCGCUAUGGCUAAACUUAAAGGUUUAAGAGAAAAGGUUAAGAAAAAUGCUGGGGUGGACUCUCAUGUUUGGGAUUGGUUGGACUUAGCAUUGGGGAAAUGGGGAGCCAUGUUUGCUAGGACGGCCUUUAUGCUGGAAGGGGGGUUAUUGGCUCUGGGUAUUGUAUUUUGUUGUGUUUUACCCUGGGUGAAAUCACUUGUGAUCCAGACAACGGUUAAACAGAUGUUUGUAAGUAGAGCUGACACUCCGGUGAUAGUUGAUCCUGUGCCGGGUAGGCCAGGCCACUAUACUGAUGAAAAUGGACAGUUAUGCUGUCAUUCCAAAUUCAUAAGAAAGUCAACUGAUGCAUAUCCACAAAAAGGGUCAUUUCCGUAGUAAGUACAAGAGGUGUUAUGUAAGGUCUACUUUUGCUCACGGCCUUGUGUUUUAGUAUGUUUUAUCAAAUGUUUUUAUAGGUAUAUCAAUGAAUAUAUCUGGUUUCUUUUAAUUAAAAGUUAGUUUUGCCUUCUAAAAUGCUAGGUUAUAUUUAAAAACAUGUAGGUAACAGUGGGAUAUCCCAGUUACAAGUGUCUACGGACCAUGUCCUUAAUCUUCUAACAGAAGUUGGUAUUGAUGGUAUCACGGUUGUUGGAGAGGUGUCUGAGAGGGAGAAUCAUGUGGAAAGCUUAAAUGUAGAAUGAUGUGUCAAUUUUAUUUUGUAACUGCAUGGAGGCCUAGUGUUUUCUCAUAUUCAAUUUAUUAUUUGAGUCAUUGCUUUAUUAUAUAUAUUUUUCUUUUUCGCGUAGCUGAGAACCUCAGACAAGGUUAUGUAUUUACAUGCUCAUGCUUUAACAAAAGAUAAUGUAUUAUUUUUUGUUUCUAUACCGAACUAGAUAUUUUACUCUUAUGAAAUACUAGAGAUGUUUGGUGUAGGUGAUUAGGAAGUUUUAUUUUUUAAUUAUUUUUUAUUUUUUAUUUAAAAAUAAUUUUUUGGGAUAAUCGACUGUUGAUAUUAUGUUCCAUAUAUGUCCUUUUUAAGUUUUUGGUGCUUAUUAAAGCACCAGAGGGGGGUUAUGUGGGAGAAAUUAGGUACAUAUAUGGAUAAAUACACUGUCCUAUAUAAAAGAGGGAUGCAUUUGCCAUUCUGGUAAGGUACAUUGUCUAUUGUAUAGGACAGGAAGCCAGAGUGGGGCCAUGGGAGAGGGCAAUACCUAGGGCAGCUGGACAUACAAAGAUCAGAGGUUAUCUAAGGACGGGGGGUUCAGCCAAAGGACCAAUUGAUGGAUUACAGACAUCAAUCACAUCACAGGAGACAAGUCUGUUUGAUCUUAGACAACCAUAUGAAGAGAAGGCAACCAGAACAGCUAGGCACCCUAAAGCUAAAGGAGAUGAAAGACACCAAAAGGGACACAUGGAGUUAAUUACAGGGUAUGAACACAGGCCACAGGAAAGGGGAAUGUAUAGUAUUUUUAGUAUAGCUGAGCAUGCUAAAAACAGAAGAGACACAUAGUCUGCUGACCCUAGAUAACACACAAACAGGAGAACGCAUUAAGCUGAGUGAAGGGUCAAAGCAAGGGUCUUGUCACCAUUAGGAUCUAAUGGAAAGCAGAUGGGGGCGUUAUUGGGCUGAACAAGCAGGAAGCACGGAUUGGGAUGUAACUUAAUUUGCAUAUGGGAGGGACUUAUAUGGUAGGUGUAUAACUCAGAGCGAGGGCUCUGAAAAAGUGUGUGUGUUCCGCGGACCGCUCCGGCUUAUGAUACUGUUGUAUUAAAAGUCUAUAUUGAUUUUCACAAA
Oncorhynchus mykiss (rainbow trout) is the source of this 9666-nucleotide non-coding RNA. The record is from RefSeq and is a predicted model, not a curated record. Lineage: Eukaryota; Metazoa; Chordata; Actinopteri; Salmoniformes; Salmonidae.